UACGUAGGGUGCAAGCGUUGUCCGGAAUUAUUGGGCGUAAAGAGCUCGUAGGCGGUCUGUCGCGUCGGCUGUGAAAUCCCGAGGCUCAACCUCGGGUCUGCAGUCGAUACGGGCAAACUAGAGUAUUGCAGGGGAGACUAGGAAUUCCUGGUGUAGCGGUGAAAAUGCGCAGAUAUCAGGAGGAACACCGGUGGCGAAGGCGGGUCUCUGGGCCGAUACUGACGCUGGAGGAGCGAAAGCGUGGGGAGCAAACAGGG
RNAcentral lists this ribosomal RNA (257 nucleotides) under uncultured bacterium. RNAcentral describes it as "partial 16S ribosomal RNA". It matches the Rfam family "Bacterial small subunit ribosomal RNA", at positions 524 to 777 of the family's 1533-position model. The record is from RNAcentral.